AGAACCGAAAUAAAUGUUGUCACAAAGCAGUAUCAAAAGAGCAAAACGAGGAGGAAAAAGAAGGAUUGAAUGAGCUUAAGAUCAAUACUGAGGAAAAGAAGAAACAAUCUACAAAGAGCAGAAAGAAUCAGAAAAGCAAGGAGAGAAAGAGGGAAGAAGAGAGCAAUGUUUGUUGCCAACCCCUACAAGUUUACCAAAGCAACACUGGACGGAACAAAGGCGGGAUCAGUAAAAAGCACGAAAGAGGAAGUGGAAAAACAUCUAUCAGAGACACACAGCGACGAAAGGCAGUGGGAACAUCUAGGUAACUGCGAUAGGAUAGAAAAUGUACAAGAACCAGAAAUACCAAUGAACACUAAGGAACCAUCAUGGAAAGAAGUGUCAGAUGUAGUGAAGAAAGCCAGGUCUGCAUCAUCACCAGGACCAAAUGGCAUACCGUACAAGGUAUAUAAGAAGUGCCCAAAAAUUUUGAAACACCUGUGGAGGCUACUGAAAGUAGUUUGGAGGAAAGGGAAGAUACCAUCAUGUUGGCAGAAAGCAGAGGGGUGUUUUAUUCCAAAAGAAGAAAAAUCGGAGGACAUCACACAAUUUCGGACAAUUUCCCUCCUAAAUGUAGAAGGAAAGAUCUUCUUCUCUAUUAUGGCUAGAAGGAUGACAUCAUAUAUGACAGAUAACAACUAUGUAGACACUUCAGUACAGAAGGGCGGAAUACCAGGAUUCUCAGGAUGUAUUGAACAUACAAGCAUCAUUUCACAACUUAUUCAAGAGGCC
Molecule: long non-coding RNA, 771 nt
Filed under: Mytilus galloprovincialis (Mediterranean mussel)
Lineage: Eukaryota; Metazoa; Mollusca; Bivalvia; Mytilida; Mytilidae
Source: RNAcentral